AGAGUUUGAUCCUGGCUCAGGAUGAACGCUAGCGGCAGGCUUAAUACAUGCAAGUCGAGGGGCAGCACGGUUAGCAAUAACUGGUGGCGACCGGCGCACGGGUGCGUAACACGUAUACAAUCUACCUUAAACAGGGGGAUAGCCUUUCGAAAGAGAGAUUAAUACCCCGUAAUAAAUUGAACGGCAUCGUUUGAUUUUGAAAGCUCCGGCGGUUUGAGAUGAGUAUGCGUCUGAUUAGCUAGUUGGUGAGGUAACGGCUCACCAAGGCGACGAUCAGUAGGGGAUCUGAGAGGACUAACCCCCCACACUGGUACUGAGACACGGACCAGACUCCUACGGGAGGCAGCAGUAAGGAAUAUUGGUCAAUGGAGGCAACUCUGAACCAGCCAUGCCGCGUGCAGGAUGACGGCCCUACGGGUUGUAAACUGCUUUUAUACAAGAGAAAACCCUGGUACGUGUACCAGGUUGAUAGUAUUGUAAGAAUAAGCAUCGGCUAACUUCGUG
Molecule: ribosomal RNA, 504 nt
Filed under: uncultured bacterium
Lineage: Bacteria
Description: bacterial SSU rRNA
Rfam family: Bacterial small subunit ribosomal RNA
Source: RNAcentral